UACAGAGGGGGCAAGCGUUGUUCGGAAUUACUGGGCGUAAAGGGCGCGUAGGUGGCCAACUAAGUCAGACGUGAAAUCCCUCGGCUUAACCGGGGAACUGCGUCUGAUACUGGAUGGCUUGAGUUUGGGAGAGGGACGCGGAAUUCCAGGUGUAGCGGUGAAAUGCGUAGAUAUCUGGAGGAACACCGGUGGCGAAGGCGGCGUCCUGGACCAAUACUGACACUGAAACGCGAAAGCCAGGGGAGCAAACGGG
RNAcentral lists this ribosomal RNA (253 nucleotides) under uncultured bacterium. Its description in RNAcentral is "partial 16S ribosomal RNA". It matches the Rfam family "Bacterial small subunit ribosomal RNA", at positions 524 to 776 of the family's 1533-position model. The record is from RNAcentral.